GUGUACGUACAAGCAGUGGGAGCACCCUUUGGGGUGUGACUGCGUACCUUUUGUAUAAUGGGUCAGCGACUUAUAUUCUGUAGCAAGGUUAACCGUAUAGGGGAGCCGGAGGGAAACCGAGUCUUAAUUGGGCGUUAAGUUGCAGGGUAUAGACCCGAAACCCGGUGAUCUAGCCAUGGGCAGGUUGAAGGUUGGGUAACACUAACUGGAGGACCGAACCGACUAAUGUUGAAAAAUUAGCGGAUGACCUGUGGCUGGGGGUGAAAGGCCAAUCAAACCGGGAGAUAGCUGGUUCUCCCCGAAAGCUAUUUAGGUAGCGCCUCGUGAAUUCAUCUCCGGGGGUAGAGCACUGUUUCGGCUAGGGGGCCAUCCCGGCUUACCAACCCGAUGCAAACUGCGAAUACCGGAGAAUGUUAUCACGGGAGACACACGGCGGGUGCUAACGUCCGUCGUGAAGAGGGAAACAACCCAGACCGCCAGCUAAGGUCCCAAAGUCAUGGUUAAGUGGGAAACGAUGUGGGAAGGCCCAGACAGCCAGGAUGUUGGCUUAGAAGCAGCCAUCAUUUAAAGAAAGCGUAAUAGCUCACUGGUCGAGUCGGCCUGCGCGGAAGAUGUAACGGGGCUAAACCAUGCACCGAAGCUGCGGCAGCGACACUCAGGUGUUGUUGGGUAGGGGAGCGUUCUGUAAGCCUGCGAAGGUGGCCUGUGAGGGUUGCUGGAGGUAUCAGAAGUGCGAAUGCUGACAUAAGUAACGAUAAAGCGGGUGAAAAGCCCGCUCGCCGGAAGACCAAGGGUUCCUGUCCAACGUUAAUCGGGGCAGGGUGAGUCGACCCCUAAGGCGAGGCCGAAAGGCGUAGUCGAUGGGAAACGGGUUAAUAUUCCCGUACUUGGUGUUACUGCGAAGGGGGGACGGAGAAGGCUAUGUUGGCCGGGCGACGGUUGUCCCGGUUUAAGCGUGUAGGUGUGUGUUCCAGGUAAAUCCGGUUCACUUUAACACUGAGGCGUGACGACGAGGCACUACGGUGCUGAAGCAACAAAUGCCCUGCUUCCAGGAAAAGCCUCUAAGCAUCAGGUAACAUCAAAUCGUACCCCAAACCGACACAGGUGGUCAGGUAGAGAAUACCAAGGCGCUUGAGAGAACUCGGGUGAAGGAACUAGGCAAAAUGGUGCCGUAACUUCGGGAGAAGGCACGCUGACAUGUAGGUGAAGUGAUUUACUCAUGGAGCUGAAGUCAGUCGAAGAUACCAGCUGGCUGCAACUGUUUAUUAAAAACACAGCACUGUGCAAACACGAAAGUGGACGUAUACGGUGUGACGCCUGCCCGGUGCCGGAAGGUUAAUUGAUGGGGUCAGCGCAAGCGAAGCUCCUGAUCGAAGCCCCGGUAAACGGCGGCCGUAACUAUAACGGUCCUAAGGUAGCGAAAUUCCUUGUCGGGUAAGUUCCGACCUGCACGAAUGGCGUAAUGAUGGCCAGGCUGUCUCCACCCGAGACUCAGUGAAAUUGAACUCGCUGUGAAGAUGCAGUGUACCCGCGGCAAGACGGAAAGACCCCGUGAACCUUUACUAUAGCUUGACACUGAACAUUGAGCCUUGAUGUGUAGGAUAGGUGGGAGGCUUUGAAGUGUGGACGCCAGUCUGCAUGGAGCCGACCUUGAAAUACCACCCUUUAAUGUUUGAUGUUCUAACGUGGACCCGUGAUCCGGGUUGCGGACAGUGUCUGGUGGGUAGUUUGACUGGGGCGGUCUCCUCCUAAAGAGUAACGGAGGAGCACGAAGGUUGGCUAAUCCUGGUCGGACAUCAGGAGGUUAGUGCAAUGGCAUAAGCCAGCUUGACUGCGAGCGUGACGGCGCGAGCAGGUGCGAAAGCAGGUCAUAGUGAUCCGGUGGUUCUGAAUGGAAGGGCCAUCGCUCAACGGAUAAAAGGUACUCCGGGGAUAACAGGCUGAUACCGCCCAAGAGUUCAUAUCGACGGCGGUGUUUGGCACCUCGAUGUCGGCUCAUCACAUCCUGGGGCUGAAGUAGGUCCCAAGGGUAUGGCUGUUCGCCAUUUAAAGUGGUACGCGAGCUGGGUUUAGAACGUCGUGAGACAGUUCGGUCCCUAUCUGCCGUGGGCGCUGGAGAACUGAGGGGGGCUGCUCCUAGUACGAGAGGACCGGAGUGGACGCAUCACUGGUGUUCGGGUUGUCAUGCCAAUGGCACUGCCCGGUAGCUAAAUGCGGAAGAGAUAAGUGCUGAAAGCAUCUAAGCACGAAACUUGCCCCGA
RNAcentral lists this ribosomal RNA (2261 nucleotides) under Salmonella enterica subsp. enterica serovar Panama. RNAcentral's name for it is "partial 23S ribosomal RNA". It matches the Rfam family "Bacterial large subunit ribosomal RNA", at positions 558 to 2802 of the family's 2925-position model. Lineage: Bacteria; Pseudomonadati; Pseudomonadota; Gammaproteobacteria; Enterobacterales; Enterobacteriaceae. The record is from RNAcentral.